This 253-nucleotide ribosomal RNA is filed under the name uncultured bacterium. RNAcentral describes it as "partial 16S ribosomal RNA". It matches the Rfam family "Bacterial small subunit ribosomal RNA", at positions 524 to 776 of the family's 1533-position model. The record is from RNAcentral.
UACGUAGGGUGCAAGCGUUAAUCGGAAUUACUGGGCGUAAAGCGUGCGCAGGCGGUUGUGCAAGACCGAUGUGAAAUCCCCGGGCUUAACCUGGGAAUGGCAUUGGUGACUGCACGGCUAGAGUGUGUCAGAGGGGGGUAGAAUUCCACGUGUAGCAGUGAAAUGCGUAGAGAUGUGGAGGAACACCAAUGGCGAAGGCAGCUCGCUGGGACGUUACUGACGCUGAGACGCGAAAGCGUGGGGAGCAAACAGG